Molecule: ribosomal RNA, 186 nt
Filed under: uncultured bacterium
Lineage: Bacteria
Description: partial 16S ribosomal RNA
Rfam family: Bacterial small subunit ribosomal RNA
Source: RNAcentral
AAGAGGCUGAAACUCGCCUCUUUGAAGUCGGAAUCGCUAGUAAUCGCAGAUCAGCAUGUUGCGGUGAAUACGUUCCCGGGUCUUGUACACACCGCCCGUCAAACCAUGAGAGUCACCAACACCCGAAGUCCGCUUUGGCGGCCUAAGGUGGGGGAGAUGAUUGGGGUUAAGUCGUAACAAGGUAAC